RNAcentral lists this long non-coding RNA (218 nucleotides) under Ananas comosus (pineapple). RNAcentral describes it as "long non-coding RNA (ACOM_LNC025103)". The record is from RNAcentral. Lineage: Eukaryota; Viridiplantae; Streptophyta; Magnoliopsida; Poales; Bromeliaceae.
AUCUUUUACCAACAAUUUUCAUAAUAUAAUUGACUGUUUUUAGCGUAAGUAAUAAAAAAAUUUGAUGAUUGAUAUUUGAGAUUUUGAUUUCGAAAUUUAGUUGCUUUUCGUAUUUUUAGCUAAAUUUAUUUUUUAAAAACUAAAUGAAACGAAUAGCAUGAUAUUUUUCUCUCUAAAAAAAUACAAUUCUCUCAAUAUAUAUUAUACCAAGUUAGUAG